UACGUAGGGGGCAAGCGUUGUCCGGAUUUAUUGGGCGUAAAGAGCGUGUAGGCGGUUUGGUAGGUCCGUUGUGAAAACCCGCGGCUCAACCUCGAGACGCCGAUGGAAACCAUCUGACUAGAGUCCGGAAGAGGAGAGUGGAAUUCCUGGUGUAGCGGUGAAAUGCGCAGAUAUCAGGAAGAACACCAGUGGCGAAGGCGGCUCUCUGGUACGUGACUGACGCUGAGACGCGAAAGCGUGGGGAGCGAACAGG
This 253-nucleotide ribosomal RNA is filed under the name uncultured bacterium. Its description in RNAcentral is "partial 16S ribosomal RNA". It matches the Rfam family "Bacterial small subunit ribosomal RNA", at positions 524 to 776 of the family's 1533-position model. The record is from RNAcentral.